AUGCCGGCAAUCACAGCUGACUCACCUGACCAAUUCCGUGGAAAGCUUCGACUCCCGCGUUUUGCUAUGCCAACCCACUAUAAGCUCCAUUUCCACCCAGACCUAGUCUCCUCAACAUUUUCUAGUGUGGUGUCGAUUAAUGUCUUCAUUUUAGCGCCCACUCGUUUCCUUGUGCUAAAUGUUGUGGAACUCACCAUCGACCAUGCUUCCAUCCACUUCAAGAGUUUGGAGCCAACCGACGUGGUGUUCUUCAAGGACGACCAGAUUAUGGUACUCGGGUUUCUUAAAGAGCUUCCACUAGGUGAGGGUGUGCUAAGUAUGCACUUCAAUGGCACCCUUAGCGAUGAGAUGAAGGGAUUUCACAGAGGUAAAUACCACUAUAAGGGGGAGAUGGCAUACAUGGCGUUCACAGUGUUUGAGCCCGUGCAUGCGCGACGGUGUUUUCCUUGUUGGGAUGAACCUAAUUUCAAGGCUAAGUCCAAGUUAACUUUAGAAGUUCAAUCUGACUUGGUAGCUCUAUCCAACAUGCCUGUACUUGGUGAGAUGGUGGAUGGUUCUAUCAAGGUUGUCCAUUUUGAGGAAUCACCCCUGAUGUCAACUUAUUUAGUUGCCAUGGUUGUUGGUAUUUUUGAGUUUAUAGAAGGUGUGACGUCAGAAGGCACCAUAGUCCGUGUGUACACCGAAGUUGGCAAGUCUAAACAAGGGCAGUUUGCAUUGGAUGUUGCAGUGAAGUCAUUGGAUCUAUAUGAUGAUUACUUUGAAACUCCUUAUGCACUCCCUAAGCUGGACAUGAUUGGAAUCCCUGAUUUUCCUGUGGCCUUGGAAAACUUUGGAUUGGUCACAAUCGGAGAGGGGGGUUUGCUUUUGGAUGAAACGUCUACAACAUCCACCAAACUGCAGCAAAUUGCAGUUAAUGUGGCACAUGAAUUAGCUCAUCAAUGGUGUGGCAAUCUUGUAACCAUGGAAUGGUGGAAUGACAUAUGGCUAAGUGAGGGAUUUGCUACAUGGAUGAGCCAUGAAGCAGUAGAUUCUUUUUUUCCUCAGUGGAAUAUUUGGCUGAAGUUUCUUGUGGGCAGAGUUGAAACUCUUAGAUUGGAUUCAGUGACGGGGUCUCACCCAAUCGAGGUUGAGAUACACCAUACUAAUGAAAUCAAUGGUAUUUUUGAUGAAAUCAUUUAUGUUAAAGGUGCUUCUAUUAUUCGCAUGCUACAAAGUUUCUUGGGGGCAAAGCGUUUCCAGAAAGCAUUGGCUUCGUAUGUAAAGAAAUAUGCAUACUCGAAUGCUAAAACCGAGGACCUAUGGACAGUGAUUGAAGAGGAAACUGGUGAACCGUUCAAGGAUUUGAUGACUCCUUGGACGAAGGAACCAGGAUAUCCUGUGAUUAAUGUAAAACAUGAAGGGGAACACAUCCAACUUGAACAGGCCAAGUUUGAGUUAGAUGGAUCCUCUCGAUCUAGCUUGUGGGAUGUGCCAAUAACUCUAAGAUGUACAUCAUCAACAGAAAAGUUCAUUUUGAAACAUAAGCAUGACAAGUUGGAUUUAUGUUGUAAACGACAGAAGGAUAGAAAUAUUUGGAUUAAGUUAAACAUAAAUGAAACAGGAUUUUAUCGAGUGAAGUAUGAUAAAGAAAUUACAACUGCACUUUCAUAUGCAUUAGAGGCCAGUGAGUUCUCUUCAAUGGAAAAAAUUGGAAUUUUGGACAACGCACUUGUGCUUUCCAUGUCCUACGAACACACACUAGCUUCGUUGCUACAUAUAGUUUACGCUUGUCGUGAAGAAACCGACUACAAUGUUGUCCCACACAUAUGUGAUAUAACUAGAAGCGUUUCCCAGAUAACUUUUGAUGCCGCACCUAACUUGGCUGGUGACAUCAGACAACUUCUCAUCAAAAUUCUUUUGUCACCUACUCUAAAGUUAGGCUGGGACCCCAAGGAUGGUGAGGGGGACCUAGUUGUAGGUCUUAGAGAAACUAUCUUGGUUGCCCUUGUCAAACUUGGACAUGAUAAAACCAUUAAUGAAGGUGUUAAGCGCUUUCACAUAUUAAAGCAUGAUAACAACUCCUCUAUUCUUUCUCCACACACUAGAAAGGCUGCAUACCUCUCUAUGAGGAAAAAAUCUAGUAGCUUAGAUAGAUCUGGCUAUGAUGAUCUUCGACAACUCUACAAGGACUUGGGAGAUGAGGAGGAAAAGCUACGCAUGUUAGGUGUAUUGUCUUCUUGCUCGGAUAUGGAAAUUGUUCUCGAGUCAUUGAAUUUAAUAUUCACUAAUGAGGUUGCCAAUGAACCUAUUUGCUCCUUCCUCGGUUAUACAUGA
RNAcentral lists this ribosomal RNA (2313 nucleotides) under Triticum aestivum (bread wheat). RNAcentral's name for it is "partial small subunit ribosomal RNA". The record is from RNAcentral. Lineage: Eukaryota; Viridiplantae; Streptophyta; Magnoliopsida; Poales; Poaceae.